UACGAAGGGUGCAAGCGUUACUCGGAAUUACUGGGCGUAAAGCGUGCGUAGGUGGUGAGUUAAGUCUGAUGUGAAAUCCCCGGGCUCAACCUGGGAAUGGCAUUGGAUACUGGCUCGCUGGAGCGCGGUAGAGGGUGGUGGAAUUCCCGGUGUAGCAGUGAAAUGCGUAGAGAUCGGGAGGAACAUCUGUGGCGAAGGCGGCCACCUGGACCAGCACUGACACUGAGGCACGAAAGCGUGGGGAGCAAACAGG
RNAcentral lists this ribosomal RNA (253 nucleotides) under uncultured bacterium. RNAcentral describes it as "partial 16S ribosomal RNA". It matches the Rfam family "Bacterial small subunit ribosomal RNA", at positions 524 to 776 of the family's 1533-position model. The record is from RNAcentral.